Molecule: ribosomal RNA, 714 nt
Filed under: Tetrao urogallus (western capercaillie)
Lineage: Eukaryota; Metazoa; Chordata; Aves; Galliformes; Phasianidae
Description: partial 12S ribosomal RNA
Rfam family: Bacterial small subunit ribosomal RNA
Source: RNAcentral
GGUAAAUCUCGUGCCAGCCACCGCGGUCAUACAAGAAACCCAAAUCAAUAGUCACCCGGCGUAAAGAGUGGCCAUAUGUUAUCUCCAACGACUAAGAUCAAAAUGUAACUAAGCUGUCAUAAGCCCAGGAUCCACUUAAGGCCCCUCAUCUUAGCUGCAUGAUUAAUUUAAGCCCACGAAAGCCAGGGUACAAACUGGGAUUAGAUACCCCACUAUGCCUGGCCCUUAAUCUAGAUACCUAUAUACCCUUGUAUCCGCCUGAGAACUACGAGCACAAACGCUUAAAACUCUAAGGACUUGGCGGUGCCCUAAACCCACCUAGAGGAGCCUGUUCUAUAAUCGAUAAUCCACGAUUCACCCAACCACCCCUUGCCCAAACAGCCUACAUACCGCCGUCGCCAGCCCACCUAAAUGAAAGACCAAAAGUGAGCUCAAUAGUCCCCGCUAACAAGACAGGUCAAGGUAUAGCCCAUGGGGUGGAAGAAAUGGGCUACAUUUUCUAAUAUAGAAUAGAACGAAAAAGGACGUGAAACCUAGUCCUUGGAAGGAGGAUUUAGCAGUAAAAUAGGAUCAUACUUUUCAAGCCUAUUUUAAGACGGCCCUGGGGCACGUACAUACCGCCCGUCACCCUCUUCAUAGGCCACAAACAACAAUAAAUAAUACUUCCCAUAAAGCCAAAGACGAGGUAAGUCGUAACAAGGUAAGCAUACUGGA